CCAACAGUCUUUUUCAAGACUACACAAACAGUCCUUUAAAGGACU
Non-coding RNA from Strongylocentrotus purpuratus (purple sea urchin), 45 nucleotides. Lineage: Eukaryota; Metazoa; Echinodermata; Echinoidea; Camarodonta; Strongylocentrotidae. The record is from Rfam.